GGAAACGGGGAUGGCAGAGGGGGAAGCCCAUCCUCAGUGCUGCACGGAGGUGGCUUAAUGCAAAUCCCUCACUUGCCUCUCCCCAUGGCCACCCUGGCAGCAUCCUCCUACAAAUGCCUCCGAGCUGCAGCUGGGUGAGAAACGAUUUUAAAACUACAGUGUUUAGAGGUGUUCUCCCAGCUGCGCACGGCCAAUACGCGUCUCUCAUGAUAGGUGUAUGAGUCCUGGAGCCUCUGUGCUGUGCGGAUGAAGCCAAGGGUGGACACUGUGCUGGGAGUGGGGAAGGAGGUGCAUGGAAGAGCCCAGGGGCGUGCAGCACGGCGACAGCGCAGGGGCUGCCGGAAGACCCCCCCACAGAGCAGGGAGCAGCAGGCAGAGCCAGACAGGCUCCUCACAGCUCCGGAUGAAGGAAGGAUGAGCAGUCCCCAGGAGCACCUGGAUAGAGUUUUGGCUGGGAGCAAGGAGAGCAUGGAGAGUGUCAGUGAGGUGAGGAGGACAGGAGGGCAACACGUCUGGGACUGCAGAGCCACUCAGUGAUGCUUUUUUUUUUAUGGGGGGGGGGGGGGGGAUGCCUUUCAGCACCAGGAAGGGGUUUGGCCUGAAAGUGCCCCUUCGCAGGAGCCGGACACAGAGGAGAUGGCUUUUUGCACUGGAGAUGGCGAUGGGAUUGAGGAAGGUGGGUGAAUCACCAUGCCAGGUCCCAGGCUGAGUGCCCUUAUGGUGGAGUGUGAAGUGACUGGGGACAAGCAUGGGAGCCAUGUGGCCUGACAGGGUUCAGCUCCCUUGAUGGGAACAUGGGAACCUUCCCUGCUGGCAGAAGCUCUGGGGUGUUCCCACCCUACUGGCACCUGUAUGGGAUGAUGAGAUGGGGGAGGGAGGAUCAAGCAAAAUACCUCACAUAUGGUCCUCCCCAAAGGUGAAGAAACCACAGAGGAGCUGCUGCUCAGUUUCCCCAGUGAGGUCUCAGUGCUGGAGAGAUUGGGACUGCACAGGUAAUGGGGCGAGUGGCUGCAUCGCUGCUGGGGGCUGCAGAACAGAGGUCCUGAGGCACCCCAGGAGCAGACCAAGGGCAUUUUGGCAUGCAUUUCACACUGUGCCUCUGGCUCUGACAGCUGUUCUCUUUCUGCAGCACUAAUUUGACGGAGCAGGACGUGGAGGUGAGGGCUUUUGGGCAGGCUGGGGAAGGUGAAAGGGUAUCAGUGUUCUACUGAAUCCCAGCCAGGGGACUGUGCCCUGCUCCCAGGCUCUGCAGUCCAUUGGCAGUGGUGCAGUUGGCACGAUGAACACCCAGCAAAUUGCUCCUCGAGCUACCCUGAGGUAGCGGAAGCCUCCCUCAUAAAAUUAACUGUCCUGUGAGUGCCAGGGCUUAGACAGGCUCUGCUGCCCUGUGUGCCAACCACAACCUACAACAAGAGCUGGUGUCUGCCAUCCGCAUCCUAGCACCAGUGGGCCUUGGGAUUCCAGUGCAUUAUUAGCUGCCAGGGGGUGUCCCUGCCUUGUUGCAUUUC
Molecule: long non-coding RNA, 1508 nt
Filed under: Coturnix japonica (Japanese quail)
Lineage: Eukaryota; Metazoa; Chordata; Aves; Galliformes; Phasianidae
Description: lncRNA (ENSCJPG00005002259.1)
Source: RNAcentral